AUGGACCUCCCAUUCUCUGAGGAGGAGGUAUGGCAGGCAAUCAGGCAAACACCGACGGAUCGCGCUCCGGGACCUGAUGGUUUCUCGGGGAUCUUCUAUCGAAGCUGCUGGGCUACCAUCAAACAGGAUCUUCUUGAUGCUCUUAAUCAGUUCUACCACAUGAACUGCUCAAACUUAGGGAUACUGAACUCUGUAAAUGUAGUGCUUUUGCCCAAAUCUGACGAGGCCUCCGAAAUUGGACAGUUCAUACCAAUUAGCUUGGUGCAUUCCUUUGCAAAGCUCAUCGCCAAGAUUCUGUCCAUCAGACUUGCACCAAAAAUGGUCAACAUCAUAUCCCCUGCGCAGAGCGCCUUCCUAAAAAAUAGAUGCAUACACGACAGCUACCUUUUCGUCAGAAAUGCCGCCCGCAGUUUCCAUAGGAAGAAAAAGCAGAUGUUGCUGUUUAAGCUGGACAUUGCCAAGGCUUUUGAUUCGAUCUCGUGGGAGUACAUGCUGGAGCUGCUGCAAAAUUUAGGUUUCUCGGUCAGGUGGCGCAACUAG
This 540-nucleotide ribosomal RNA is filed under the name Triticum aestivum (bread wheat). Its description in RNAcentral is "partial small subunit ribosomal RNA". Lineage: Eukaryota; Viridiplantae; Streptophyta; Magnoliopsida; Poales; Poaceae. The record is from RNAcentral.